CUUUGUCACCAGUUGAAGUUAACCAGCUACUAAAUUUGAUUAAAUGUAUAGACAAACAUUACUUACAGUGGUGGUGAGCGAAGGUGAGUCGAUGUUUUCCUGCUGUUUCUCCUGCUGCUGCAAACAAGUCAAAGUACAUACAAUUAACAAGUCAAAGUGAUACUUUUAAUAUAUUUGAAUGACACUGUGUUUUUAGUAAAUGACAAUAUCUGCAUUAAUAAAUGACACUUAUAAUAUAUGUAAAUGACACCAUAUACAUUAAUAGAUGAAACUAUGGUUCUAUCAAUAUUCUUCUCCCUAUCUUCUCCCUAUUUAAGUGAGUAGCAGCUACGGUGAGCAUUGCUGGUCGUGAGUGUGUCGAAGGCAAGAGACGACAGCGGAGACCCCAGACGACGGCAGUGUUAGCGAGCUAACGGCAGCUUACUCGCCGGUCUUUGGCAGCAACGAACGGCAGUGAACCUCGUGGUGUCGAAGGCGAGAACCGACAGCGGAGACUCCAAGCAACUUUGGGCUUUGGCGGGGUGUGAAGUCGUAGCAGCGUAAGCUUGAGAUCGACGCUAGCUUUUUGGUCCGAGAGACGGCGGUUGCUGAGUCGUUAGUCGUUGGCGACGACGAUCGGUGGAGCCUUGCGGCAGCUUACUCGCCAGUCUUUGGCAGCAGCGAACGGCGGAGCCUUGCGGCAGCUUGCUCGUCGAUCUUUGGCAGCAGCGAACGGCAGCGAACCACGAGUGUUAUGAAGCUUCCUUAUCGGCUUUUGGGCAUUUCAAACAAAAACAAAAGCAAUCAGCUCUCUCUCUCUCUCUCUCUCAAGUGCCAUUGCUCAGUCUUUAUUUAGGCCAUCAUCAACAGUGGACCAACACUGUGUCUGUCUAUGCCCAUCAAACAGUGGCAUGAAAUAUUUGGAAUUAAUCAGCUCUUUUGUC
Long non-coding RNA from Salvia miltiorrhiza (redroot sage), 923 nucleotides. RefSeq lists it as uncharacterized. The record is from RefSeq and is a predicted model, not a curated record. The transcript is spliced from 2 exons. NCBI's taxonomy places the organism in Eukaryota, Viridiplantae, Streptophyta, Magnoliopsida, Lamiales, Lamiaceae.